CUAUCUUACACCCCAACUAACAGUUUCUUGUAUACAACAGAAUAAAUACAGUUUUGCAAACAUCAAUAUAAUUAAACUGCUAACAAUUGAUAAAGUAAAUAUUCCAAUGCUUAUUUAUAGUCUUACAAAAUAGGAAACACAAGAGUUUCAUAGAAAAACUUUAAAGGGAGACUAUAUUCACCAAAACAUAUUUAACUUAAUUAAGCAGUUUUUGUGUUCUAUAUUUGUUUAGAGAUAAUGCAUAUGAUAUGUGGUCUCAGUGUUCAAUUCUCUGUUAUUUAAGAUUUAAAACACGUUUGUUUCUGUUUAUGCAGCCCUAGCCACACUUCAACUGGCUGUGACUGACACAGCCUGUAUGAGCACAAAAUGGUUUAAUUUUCAAUCAGAUGUAACUCACUUUAAAAGAGCUCUGUUGAUUGAACUUUAAUUACACACAAGAGGCUCCUACAGGGUCUAGCUAUUAACAGAGCAGGAGAAAAGAAAUUCUAAAUUAAACAUAAUUUGUAAUAAUGUAAGUGUAAACAUUAGUUGCAUGCAGGGAGGUGGGACUACAGCUGCAUAAACAAAGUGAUUUCGCUCCUAAAUGGCAGAGAUAUGAGCAGUGAGACUGCAGGGGCAUGAUCUAUACACCAAAAAUGCUUCAUGAAGCUUAAGUUGUUUUGGUGACUAUAGUGUCCCUUUAACUUUGUUACUAUCUUCUGUGCUGUCAAAACAAAAUAGUGCCUCACUUUAAGAAACUUAACAAAAUGCUGGACAUCAUUAAAGCGAUUCUAUGAUUUUGUUGCAAUGAAAAUAGCUUGUCUUUACAUUUUAACAGUUAUUUUAUUUCCAUGUUGUACUCUAUUUACUAGGUUUAGUGAGCUUAUAGUUGGGGUGCUUAGACCUGGGGAAUCUUGAAGUUACCUGUUUUUAAAAUGUCAUAGAUUGUAAAUGCUGUAAGUACAUCUAACAAUAAGUCUCUUACCUAAUGCUAAUUUCCCAUCCUAAAUCAAUUUAACCAUAAAUCCUUGUAAAUAUAAUCUGUGACCAAUCACAGUUGUUUUAAACAGCACCAAUUCUAUAAUGAU
Molecule: non-coding RNA, 1067 nt
Organism: Pelobates cultripes (western spadefoot toad)
Lineage: Eukaryota; Metazoa; Chordata; Amphibia; Anura; Pelobatidae
Source: the annotation of a GenBank genome assembly